GAUGAACGCUGGCGGCGCGCCUAACACAUGCAAGUCGAACGAUUAAAGCACCUUCGGGUGUGUAUAAAGUGGCGAACGGCUGAGUAACACGUGGGCAACCUGCCCCUUUCAUUGGGAUAGCCACGGGAAACCGUGGAUAAUACCGAAUACUUCGAAACUUCCGCAUGGAAGACUCGAGAAAGCUCCGGCGGAGAGGGAUGGGCCCGCGGCCUGUUAGCUUGUUGGUGGGGUAACGGCAUACCAAGGCAAUGAUGGGUAGCUGGGUUGAGAGACCGACCAGCCAGAUUGGGACUGAGACACGGCCCAGACUCCUACGGGAGGCAGCAGUGGGGAAUCUUGCACAAUGGGCGAAAGCCUGAUGCAGCGACGCCGCGUGCGGGAUGAAGGCCUUCGGGUUGUAAACCGCUUUCAGCAGGGACGAGGCGAAAGUGACGGUACCUGCAGAAGAAGCCCCGGCUAACUACGUG
Molecule: ribosomal RNA, 467 nt
Filed under: uncultured bacterium
Lineage: Bacteria
Description: partial 16S ribosomal RNA
Rfam family: Bacterial small subunit ribosomal RNA
Source: RNAcentral